ACAACAGACAACUGAGGUAACGUCCACUCUUCGAAGGUGUGUCGUCCACCACGUCAGGACCAAAGUCCAAGCGCUCCCCGUACCCUAAGGAGGCCAGAACUCGCCCCCAUGCCGGGCACAGAUCCCCCAGCCCGGAGCCGGCAGUGCAGCUCAGAGCCCUUCCGGUUUACAGCCGCGGAAAAACAACUCGGACCAGAUCGGUGAGGGGAAUGGGGGCUGGGCGGCCAAAAUUCAGUCCAGAGGAUCGGAGCGGCUGCUUUAACAGCGGUUGGGGCUGCGUAACAACAGCUCCAGGCAAAGCUUCAGGCUGAUCUGAAGGAUGAGGAAGCAGAAAAGAGACUAAAGACAGACGGACAGGAUGGCUGGGGACAACGACAGGGACCCAGUGAAAAUACGGGCAAUACCGAGGGCUGUAACCCUAACACGGGCAAAUUUGGAGGGGCUAACAUGGGCAGAAACCAUCCGUACCAGUCACCACCACUGUCUCCAGCUGUCCCAGAACCGGACUCUUCCUGCCACCAAAAUGGCGGCGGCGACGGCAGCGGUGGUAGCACCUACGCUGGCGGUGACCAGGCGAAGGAAGUUGCUUCCGAGCGCGUCGAAACGAUGAUGCGCACGCGCAAAGUAGGCCUACGCGGAGCCGACCUGCCAUUGGGGAACCUGAUGGAAUAAACUGCUGUGAGAGGGAGUAUUGAAAAUAUUUCUCCCCUGGACCUUGUUCCCAGGCUCCGUGUGAAGCUGAACACUCUGCAUGAUCUCCCUGCCACCAUAGCAAGCUAUGAAGUUCAUUACACAUGCAGGUAGCAGACAAUACAGCUCUGCUUCCAUUUCUGAGCACCUACGGUAGACAGACUGCCAUUAUUCAGUGUGCCAGCCUGUUUCCAAGCCUACAAUGUAUAGUUCCUCUAGUACGUAAACUCAUUUUUUUUCUCAGAGAGCCAAGUAGAGACACAGGCAGUUUUCUUCUCAAAAUGUGCCAGAAAUUCCAAAACAAUCUCAAAGCAUUAAAGGCUAUGUGCAGAAAGC
Molecule: non-coding RNA, 1026 nt
Filed under: Pan troglodytes (chimpanzee)
Lineage: Eukaryota; Metazoa; Chordata; Mammalia; Primates; Hominidae
Source: RNAcentral